UACAGGGGCCCCAAGCGUUAAUCGGAAUUACUGGGCUUAAAGGGUGCGUAGGCGGUCCCGUAAGUGCUCUGUGAAAGCCCUCGGCUCAACCGAGGAACAGCAGGGCAUACUGCGGGACUUGAGGAAGGUAGAGGCCGUUGGAACGCUCGGUGGAGCGGUGGAAUGCGUAGAGAUCGAGCGGAACGCCAAAAGUGAAGACAGACGGCUGGGCCUUUCCUGACGCUGAGGCACGAAAGCGUGGGGAGCAAACCGGAUUAGAUACCCGGGUAGUCCACGCCCUAAACGAUGUAUGCUAGAUCGGCCAGGCUCUGACGUCUGGCUGGUCGGAGAGAAAUUGUUAAGCAUACCGCCUGGGGAGUACGGUCGCAAGGCUAAA
This 376-nucleotide ribosomal RNA is filed under the name uncultured bacterium. RNAcentral's name for it is "bacterial SSU rRNA". It matches the Rfam family "Bacterial small subunit ribosomal RNA", at positions 524 to 898 of the family's 1533-position model. The record is from RNAcentral.